GACGAACGCUGGCGGCGUGCCUAAUACAUGCAAGUCGAACGCUUCUUUCCUCCUGAGUGCUUGCACUCAAUUGGAAAGAGGAGUGGCGGACGGGUGAGUAACACGUGGGUAACCUACCCAUCAGAGGGGGAUGACACUUGGAAACAGGUGCUAAUACCGCAUAACAGUUUAUGCCGCAUGGCAUAAGAGUGAAAGGCGCUUUCGGGUGUCGCUGAUGGAUGGACCCGCGGUGCAUUAGCUAGUUGGUGAGGUAACGGCUCACCAAGGCCACGAUGCAUAGCCGACCUGAGAGGGUGAUCGGCCACACUGGGACUGAGACACGGCCCAGACUCCUACGGGAGGCAGCAGUAGGGAAUCUUCGGCAAUGGACGAAAGUCUGACCGAGCAACGCCGCGUGAGUGAAGAAGGUUUUCGGAUCGUAAAACUCUGUUGUUAGAGAAGAACAAGGACGUUAGUAACUGAACGUCCCCUGACGGUAUCUAACCAGAAAGCCACGGCUAACUACGU
RNAcentral lists this ribosomal RNA (507 nucleotides) under uncultured bacterium. RNAcentral describes it as "partial 16S ribosomal RNA". It matches the Rfam family "Bacterial small subunit ribosomal RNA", at positions 28 to 506 of the family's 1533-position model. The record is from RNAcentral.